AAAAAUAUAACUAAAAUUUAAUAAUAUAACUAUAAAAUUAUUGUAAUUUAAAAAAUAGAACUAAAAUAUAUAUUUGCAUAUUUCAGGUAUUUCUAGAAGUUCUGGAAAAGGGGAACAUGGCACCUGACAAUAGCUUAUACAUUACCUGGGAGACUUCAUAAGAUAUUGUAUUAACGUACCAGAAGGGCUACAUUUCCUCUAGGCACAAGCGCUUCCCACAGAAACGUAACAAUGGUGCUGUAGAUGUUGUGGAUUUUUGACAUCUUUUCAAUGCAACUCUUUCUUUCUUGAGCAAAAUCCUCAAGCAGAGUGGACGUGGUUUAAUAUAUGUGAGCCAAAGAUGCUGCCACCAUCAGGAUUCAGCAAGAACAAUUUGCUCUCUUAUUGUUCUUCAUAUCUACAGUCCAAGAAAUGAAAACUGGAGCCAUGUGCAAUGAAACAGGAAUUUUAAGAAUUACUGUAGCCACCAAGCAAUUCAACAGCCUCUCUCGUGGUGCAUUUCUCCCGGGGUGAGUGUGCUGGAGACAUCUACCACGACUAUGAGGGCUGCAGGAAAAGCCCCCUGUGUUUCUUGUUUCAAGGAAUUACAACAGGAUGAAUAAGCGGGAAGUUGAACCAGGAUCAGAGACUUCAAAGAGGUAGCCCAAUGCAUGUGUCCAGAAAGGAUUUUAAAGAAGAGAUUGAUGGAAGGGAAGUGAAAUUAGAGGCAAAUUGGGCAGAAACAACUGAAUGAGGUGCAAGUGGGUAUAGUGGGGGCACCUAGUGUGAUAAGUCAGAGGGAUAUCAGAGACAAGUGGUUGAUGACAUAGUGACACUUCAGUGGUGGGAGACUGCAUCUAAACCAGAUUUUUCCACUUUCCACCUCAUUUUUCUCAUCGUCAAAUGGGCAUUAAAAACACUGCUUAUCCUAAAGAAUUGCUCUGUAAGUAUUAGACAAAAUUAUCAGGGGUGAUAAUGUAUGCAAAGCACUGUGUAUGCAGUUGGUGUCCAGUUGUUACCAGAGGUGGAAUUACUGUGAUGUUAGUAAAUCUUAGGUUUCGGGAAGCCUCACACUGAUGGGUCUUUAUGUAUCCUUGCAGAGGUCUUAGUAAUGUGUUUGAGUCAUAUUUUAGACAAAAUUUGUGAAAAUAAAAUAUUUUAA
This 1141-nucleotide long non-coding RNA is filed under the name Ailuropoda melanoleuca (giant panda). RNAcentral describes it as "lncRNA (ENSAMEG00000029465.1)". Lineage: Eukaryota; Metazoa; Chordata; Mammalia; Carnivora; Ursidae. The record is from RNAcentral.